Molecule: long non-coding RNA, 1186 nt
Organism: Oncorhynchus tshawytscha (Chinook salmon)
Lineage: Eukaryota; Metazoa; Chordata; Actinopteri; Salmoniformes; Salmonidae
Source: Ensembl
CGUCAGAACAGGAUCUGCUCACGUGUUCACAUUUUCCAUUUCUAUUGUAGCGUACUGUAUGUAUGGUGCAUAAUAUAAUGGUGUAUAUUCUUUAUCACCGUGGACACAUGAGAAAUCACAAACAUUAUUUGCCAAUAUCAUAACUGGCGCUGGACAUCUUUGGAGCUGAAGAAUGAGGACAGCUUUUGUAUGCUAACAUACACCCCUUAACAGUUUUACUGGAUGAAAACACAGCAAGAAAACUCAUAUGCUAAUAUGCAUAGUAUCAUGGCUGGUCACUUGUCAAGUCACCUGUCAGGCAGACUUUGCAAUGCCUCCGUGUGCGACUACCUUGAGAAGCAGUUUGAGGGACUUUGCAGGGAAAAUGCCGUGCAGUGAGGCGUAGGGGAUUGUCUACAGCAGGAAGACCCCCAGUGGAUGGGCGCCGAGGGGUGUGGUGCUCCUCCAGCAGCUCUCUCAUGAGGUUCUCUCUGUAUUUUUGGUGUGAUCGUAUGCUUCAGGGACCACUGUAGAACGAUCAUACCCGUGUGAUGGUAUGUGUGAAAGGGUUCAUUUCAACAACCACAGAAAAUCUUAUUGGACCUUUCGCAGAUUUUACAUAAGCACUUACUUUUCUGUCUGUGAACAGCACUGGCCAUCUAGAUUUGAUGUCAAUCACAAUCUCCUUUCUUCUUAAAGUUAAUGAGAAAGUAGUCAUCAUUGAUGCAGAAACAGUUACUCAGUCAGGACUUAUUUUCUGAAUCUCUUCUUGCAUAUAAUCCUUAUUGUUGAAAUAACUUCACAAAUGAGAAAAGUACUGCUUAACAUUACAGGGCUCAGAAAAAUUACAGAGGUCACAUUUUAUACAAGCAGUAACUGUUUCAUGAACAUUUCUUCAGUGUUGAGUCAAAUGCAUCUUGAGUGCUAUUUCUGUUUUAAAGGUGCACUGACAGUCUUGAUCCAUCAAUGUAUCUUGCAUCAUGUCCAUGAUUCAAUUUGUAAUGUCUAAUAAGGAUGCGUUGAUUUGAUGUGUCAAAUCUGCAGUACUUACAGUUCCACUUCAUCCAUUGAAGAAUAAUGCUUUUGGAUUUCCAAUCAUCUAAAAAAAGAAUGUUUACAUAAACCUUUAAAAAAAUAUAUAUAUGACUUAAGUUCAUGUUAAUUAGCAAAUUCUGAAAUUGGUUAAAAAUUCUAGAUAUAAGUGCUG